This 492-nucleotide ribosomal RNA is filed under the name uncultured bacterium. Its description in RNAcentral is "partial 16S ribosomal RNA". It matches the Rfam family "Bacterial small subunit ribosomal RNA", at positions 29 to 507 of the family's 1533-position model. The record is from RNAcentral.
AGUGAACGCUGGCGAUAGGCCUAACACAUGCAAGUCGAACGGCAGCUCAGUAAGAGCUUGCUCUUACGGGUGGCGAGUGGCGGACGGGUGAGGAAUACAUCGGAAUCUACUUUUUCGUGGGGGAUAACGUAGGGAAACUUACGCUAAUACCGCAUACGACCUACGGGUGAAAGCAGGGGAUCUUCGGACCUUGCGCGAUUGAAUGAGCCGAUGUCGGAUUAGCUAGUUGGCGGGGUAAAGGCCCACCAAGGCGACGAUCCGUAGCUGGUCUGAGAGGAUGAUCAGCCACACUGGAACUGAGACACGGUCCAGACUCCUACGGGAGGCAGCAGUGGGGAAUAUUGGACAAUGGGCGCAAGCCUGAUCCAGCCAUACCGCGUGGGUGAAGAAGGCCUUCGGGUUGUAAAGCCCUUUUGUUGGGAAAGAAAAGCAGCAGGUUAAUACCCCGCUGUUCUGACGGUACCCAAAGAAUAAGCACCGGCUAACUUCGUG